Molecule: long non-coding RNA, 2196 nt
Organism: Aphis gossypii (cotton aphid)
Lineage: Eukaryota; Metazoa; Arthropoda; Insecta; Hemiptera; Aphididae
Exons: 2
Source: RefSeq, a predicted model, not a curated record
UGAGACAUAAAAAAAAAACAUACAGUACAAUGUGUAUUAUAAUUAUUAUUAUAAUGUAAGUAAUUAAUGAAAAUAUUACAUGCAUAAAACGCUGUACAUGGUGUGUGUUAUAACAAUUGUUAUGGUCAACAGUGUCUGGUUUGGUUACAAAUCAGUAACUACAAUGCUGAUGUUGUAUUAUAACAAUUAAAAUUUUUGUUCAAUGAAACAAUGUCAAUCAUUACUUGUUAUGUCUCUUAAGGACAUUGACAAACAAUAUAAAUACAAAUUAAAUGUGUAAAUACGACAAAUAUUCACUUUGAAAAAGUGCGAGAUACGAACGUAAUGAGAAUGUUGUUGACCACAUCGACCGACGAUCCCGGAAAAGAACUUGAAGUAAAAAACACAUCAGUGGCGCAACCAGGAUUUAUUCAAGGGGGGGGGGAGUUCCUGGAAAAUUUUUUAUUUAUUAUAUAUUGGUUUUCUGUUCUCUUCCUGAGUAUAUACUUUAUACAUUAUUAAUACAUUUCAUUGCUUUAUAUUAUAUACAAUUAUAUUAUUAUACCUAUUCUAAUAAUAAUUAUAAUCAAUACAUUUUGAUGAAAACUUUUGGGUAACUUUAAAAAUAUAAAAUAAAAAUAAAUACUAUGGCAUGAUUCAAGGGGGGGUCCAGACCCGGGGUCCACCCCCCUGGUUGCGUCCUGGAACACAUUAAGUUGUAAGUAUAAAAAAAGCGGCAUCCUCGAAACCACAUACGUACUUUGUGGUAAUACGGCCCGGUAGUAAUUCGCGUUGUAUUCUGAAUUGGACGACUAUAAAUUAUAAUGCAUAUCCCUGUAAUACUCGGGGCGGAUGCGCUAAUUAAUUAGCUUAUAUGAAUGAUACAAAUUGUACUUACCGGUCUAUAAAACGUCCAACGAAGUUAAAAAAAAAUAUAUAUAUAUAAUAUGUACUAAAAAAAGUACAGAAAAAAGUGCAAAUUUUUGUUUACGUAAAGACAAUCGUGUUGCACGAACGUCAAAGAAAAAUUGCCUGAUGCAGGCGCACCGGACCCAGGUCCUCAACGCUUUUCGCUCUCUACUCCGCCACAACAUGGCACCAGUAUUAACAAAUAUUAAAUACCGCACAUAAUAUAAUUUAAUUAAUAUUACAAAGGAUAUUAUUAAAUAUUAAUUGUCAAUCUUCACUAAUGGGUAGACCGAUGGAUCAGACUUGCGGUUAUUUAAAGUACUAAUUCCAACCAUAAAUGCGUAAUAUGCAAUGGAACAACGAACGUCUUACGGACGCCAUUCAAUUUGAAUUGUUCAUUCGAAGUGAGUACACGUAUUAGUUAUUUUAACCUUUUCGCGUGUAUUUUUUGUUUGUUUUUAGGUUAACUGUAAUAUGUCAUUUUACUUUUUACUUAAUUAAUAAUUUAAUAUUAAAUGUUAUAGAUUAUGUUCAGUUUCAGAAACUGUACGGUGAUGGUCAACACCGACCAAAAAUGCCAAAAAAGUAUGAAUAUCAAAAAUAAUGAAUAUUUACAAUGUUACCUAUACACUUUUAUUUUUCUGGAUUCUAUAACUGUAGCACAAAGGGCCAUCUGGCCCGUGAUUGCAGAAGUAAGAAGAAUCGGCGGCGGCCGAUACCGGGCCGUAGGGCACCACCGCGAUCACGAUCGCCCUACCGGUGGUCCGGGGCAUCGUCUCACCAGCAUCCGGUCCGUACCGAGGAGUCAGAGCUCGGUUGUGGCGGACCGUGUGGUCGCUAUGAUGGUCAUGGACGUAAGUAGUAUUUAUUUAUUAUUAUUAAUUUUUUUUUUUUUGUAUAGGUUUUUUACUGUGAGGUUGUGGGAACGGUAGGGGAAAACACGUGUGUGUAUUGUGGCAGAAUUUCUAGUGGGGCACCCGUAGGUUUCUGCCAUGCCCCGGGGUGGGGGAUGGCGGCACUUAUUCUCCGGAUACCGUGACUUGCCCGAAGAAAAAUACCACUCGGUGACCGCGAAUCGAACCAGCAACCCGGCUGCGCCGCAACCGACGCCUUAGGCCGCACGGCCACCUCGUCCCCCAAUAUUAUUAAUUAAUAUUAAUUGUUAAAAAUAUGAUUUAAGUACAGGACAGAGAAGGAUGACCAAGCGGUAAGCAAUAAGUUUUUUUUUGUUAGCAUUUUUAUUAUUAUUUUUCUAAAUUUUAAAUUUGUAAUGUUUAUUUUUACAGAAUAAAUAAAAUAUAAUCAAUA